Long non-coding RNA from Varanus komodoensis (Komodo dragon), 515 nucleotides. RefSeq lists it as uncharacterized. NCBI's taxonomy places the organism in Eukaryota, Metazoa, Chordata, Lepidosauria, Squamata, Varanidae. The transcript has 2 exons. The record is from RefSeq and is a predicted model, not a curated record.
CUCGUCCGCUCGCCCAUAUCCAGGGGCGGAGUUUCACGAGGGCGUCCCGAAACCCAGGCGAGGAAAGGGACGGGAAGAAGUCGCCGCCUCGUCAGCCCACCCUGGCGCACGUGACCCUCGCCGUCCGCGACCGACAACUUCGCACACGGCGCGGGGGUCGGUGUGGGGCUUCCCUGUUCCUAAUUUUUCUUCAUCCUUAUCUCUCGCCGCGAAGGUUGCACUGGGGACGCUGCCUAACGACUGCAUCACAGACCAAACUUUUCCCAGCAGUGGAAGCAUUUAUAAGCAGCAGCGUCAAGGGUUGAUUGAGAAGAUACAGAAGAGGUUUUGAUGCUGAGCACUGGUUCAAACUAAGUUUUAUUCCCCAAACAUCUUAAUAGAAACAGGUGGUAUGCCAGCUACUUAUUUCUUCACUGAAUUAUUAUUGCUCAGUAGGUAGCAAAACAAUUAAGGUAGGAAACCAGAGGGUGUCCAUAUGUUCUUCAACAAAAUUUAAUAAAUGAACUAGAAAAACA